AAAGCUUUUGCCUACAUUUGCAUUAUUUAUUACACUGAAUACUCUAAAUAAUCUUAAAUGCAAAUCAUAAUGGGUUGUUAAUACCAUGGAGCAUUAAAAUAUGUGUUGUCAAAAUUAAUUGACUAUAACAGGAAAUUUACUAGAUUGAAUUUUAGUGCAAAAAAUUAAUGUGAAUUAUAAAGAAAAUACAUUCCAGGCUUGUUAUGUAUUUUACUCACAAACUUAUAGAUACAUAAUUAUCACAUCAAUAAAGAUACAAAUCACAAGAAACAAAUAUUUAACAUCUUAGUAUUUAUAGGUCAAUGUUUCUUAAAGGUCAGCAUUGUUUUGUAUUUUAUCAUUUCUGUAUAUUUGAUUUUUUUCUUUAGAUAAUGAAUAUCACUUUGGAAUAAAACAGCAAAUGAAAUGUAAGUUACCCCAGGGUUCUAAUCUCUCAGGUCAUCUCUCCAAUGACUUUACAUCACAGCAAUAGUCCUAACUCUCUAUAUUCUUCACCCUCUUUAAUGAAUCCUCAUUUAUUUUUAGCCAUUAUGGCCUUCUUGCUUUUAGUUCAAAAUCUGUGUAAUGCAUAAGAUUCCCUCUUGGCCUCCAUUUUUUUUUUUUUUUUUGCUUAUUAUAUUCUUUUUCCAUGUACAUACAUGUAUCACGUUUUCUCACUUUCUUUAGGUCUCUGCUCAAAUGUCACCUUAUAAAUGGUUUUCUCCUAGGCCUCAUUAAAAUAGCAGCUCCCUACUUGGCAUGCCCUAUUCCCCUCACCUUCAUUUUCUUUUGCUUAUACCAUUUAUUAUGCCCUUUUAAAAAUCAUUUAUUUAGUUAGACUAAGUCUACUAAAGGAAGGAAUUUAUCUGUUUUAAUUUCUCUAAUGUUUCCAACACCUAGGCAGUGCUAGGCAUAUUUUGAGUUCUUGAUAAAUAUCUAUUGAAAUUGCA
This 929-nucleotide long non-coding RNA is filed under the name Homo sapiens (human). RNAcentral describes it as "long non-coding RNA NONHSAT217495.1". The record is from RNAcentral. Lineage: Eukaryota; Metazoa; Chordata; Mammalia; Primates; Hominidae.